AUGUGCCCCCGAACACUCCGGUUGCUCCGCGCCGUCCGCACCCACCUGACGACUGCUCGCUACGUUUGUUAGCC
RNAcentral lists this small RNA (74 nucleotides) under Xanthomonas campestris. RNAcentral's name for it is "sX9 sRNA". It matches the Rfam family "Xanthomonas sRNA sX9". The record is from RNAcentral. Lineage: Bacteria; Pseudomonadati; Pseudomonadota; Gammaproteobacteria; Lysobacterales; Lysobacteraceae.